This 76-nucleotide transfer RNA is filed under the name Salinihabitans flavidus. Its description in RNAcentral is "tRNA_Thr_TGT". It matches the Rfam family "tRNA". Rfam says of the family: Transfer RNA (tRNA) molecules are approximately 80 nucleotides in length. Their secondary structure includes four short double-helical elements and three loops (D, anti-codon, and T loops). Further hydrogen bonds mediate the characteristic L-shaped molecular structure. tRNAs have two regions of fundamental functional importance: the anti-codon, which is responsible for specific mRNA codon recognition, and the 3' end, to which the tRNAs corresponding amino acid is attached (by aminoacyl-tRNA synthetases). tRNAs cope with the degeneracy of the genetic code in two manners: having more than one tRNA (with a specific anti-codon) for a particular amino acid; and 'wobble' base-pairing, i.e. permitting non-standard base-pairing at the 3rd anti-codon position. The record is from RNAcentral. Lineage: Bacteria; Pseudomonadati; Pseudomonadota; Alphaproteobacteria; Rhodobacterales; Roseobacteraceae.
GCCGGUAUAGCUCAGCUGGCAGAGCACCUGAUUUGUAAUCAGGGGGUCCGGGGUUCGAUCCCUCGUGCCGGCACCA